RNAcentral lists this ribosomal RNA (372 nucleotides) under uncultured organism. Its description in RNAcentral is "partial 16S ribosomal RNA". It matches the Rfam family "Bacterial small subunit ribosomal RNA", at positions 527 to 896 of the family's 1533-position model. The record is from RNAcentral.
GUAGGUGGCAAGCGUUGUCCGGAAUUAUUGGGCGUAAAGCGCGCGCAGGUGGGUUCUUUAAGUCUGAUGUGAAAGCCCCCGGGCUCAACCGGGGAGGUCAUUGGAAACUGGGGAACUUGAGUGCAGGAGAGGAAAGUGGAAUUCCACGCGUAGCGGUGAAAUGCGUAGAUAUGUGGAGGAACACCAGUGGCGAAGGCGACUUUCUGGCCUGUAACUGACACUGAGGCGCGAAAGCGUGGGGAGCAAACAGGAUUAGAUACCCUGGUAGUCCACGCCGUAAACGAUGAGUGCUAAGUGUUGGGGGGUUUCCGCCCCUCAGUGCUGCAGCUAACGCAUUAAGCACUCCGCCUGGGGAGUACGGUCGCAAGACUG